GACGAACGCUGGCGGCGUGCCUAAUACAUGCAAGUAGAACGCUGAAGAGAGGAGCUUGCUCUUCUUGGAUGAGUUGCGAACGGGUGAGUAACGCGUAGGUAACCUGCCUUGUAGCGGGGGAUAACUAUUGGAAACGAUAGCUAAUACCGCAUAACAAUGGAUGACGCAUGUCAUUUAUUUGAAAGGGGCAAUUGCUCCACUACAAGAUGGACCUGCGUUGUAUUAGCUAGUAGGUGGGGUAAUGGCUCACCUAGGCGACGACACAUAGCCGACUUGAGAGGGUGACCGGCCACACUGGGACUGAGACACGGCCCAGACUCCUACGGGAGGCAGCAGUAGGGAAUCUUCGGCAAUGGGGGCAACCCUGACCGAGCAACGCCGCGUGAGUGAAGAAGGUUUUCGGAUCGUAAAGCUCUGUUGUAAGUCAAGAACGGGUGUGAGAGUGGAAAGUUCACACUGUGACGGUAGCUUAACAGAAAGGGACGGCUAACUACGUG
Molecule: ribosomal RNA, 497 nt
Filed under: uncultured bacterium
Lineage: Bacteria
Description: partial 16S ribosomal RNA
Rfam family: Bacterial small subunit ribosomal RNA
Source: RNAcentral